This is a long non-coding RNA of Lytechinus pictus (painted urchin), 2395 nucleotides long. RefSeq lists it as uncharacterized. The record is from RefSeq and is a predicted model, not a curated record. NCBI's taxonomy places the organism in Eukaryota, Metazoa, Echinodermata, Echinoidea, Temnopleuroida, Toxopneustidae. The transcript has 5 exons.
AGAGAGCAGCGUUGCGAUUGCGGAAAAGUUUGCCGUAAGAAAAAAGUUUUUUGGACGGAGACGAGAUUUGGUGUGAUCGGCUUAUCUAAAGCUUAAAAUUUCACGACUUCAACCGAGAUUCAACAGACCAUACAUACUCGGCAGAUUGUGCUCAAUCAAGACAAAGCAAACAUGGCUCACAAUUUUGAACUGCUGUGCCGUCUUGCAAGAGAGUGAGAUUCAGCAACACAUAGAAAGACCACAGCAUGGAUUAAGAGACAGGAAGAAUCCAUUUGAAUACUACGAGGAUGAACCUCUCAGAGUGGGGUACCAACAGAGAGAACCACACAUUGCCUGUCAUGUUACAGGUUUUGACAGGACUUUGUUUUAUGUCAUUGGUACCUUUUAGAAGAUGCAAGCAGACGAAGCAACUAUAUCACAGUCAUCCGUGUGCAGAAUCAUCAAAGAUUUUUCUGAGGCAAUAGCAAGGAGUAACAGUCAAUGAAGUUUCCGAUGACGAGAAAUUCAAACCACCCAGCGACAAUUUGAUGAUUGCUACAGGUUUCCAAGAGUCAUAGGUGCUAUCGAUUGGGGCCAAUCCAGGCCAUGUCUGCAUCAGGAGUCCUGAUGGGGAACAAGCCUUGUACUUAGCAGGAAGAACAGGUCUUCUGUAAAUUUAUAGGUAUCCGUUGCUCCCCUCUUUGAUGAAUUCCUGCCUGCAUUCUGUUGUCAAUAGAAAAGGACGGUGUGCUACGGGUAUAAGCAUUCCAUUGGAUUAUCUGUGCAUGAAAGUGGACACUUGUGAUAAAAAAUGGUAGCUUGGUUGUAGUGGCGUACCUAGGAUUUUCCACAGGGAGGGCAAAACCGUUCGGCCGAAAAAUGUUACAAGUAAAAAAAAAAAGGUCUUCAAUCACAAAUAAAGGAUUUCGUACCAGAAAAAAAAUUGACAAGCAAAAAAAAAAGGUGUUCAAGCUCGUCAGGGGGGCAGGUAUACGUCCUUUGCAUGGGUUGUGGCUCGUCAGGGGGGGGGGGGGGCAGAGUGCCCCCCCCCCCGUAGGUACGCUAGUGCUUGGUUGAUAGGAUGUAUUCAUGCAUUCCGAUUUAUCAUUAGUGAUCAAAUGACCAUCUUGCUUUUUAAAAACCCAAGUUCACAACAUUUUUCUUGUUUGAUAAAAGGUUUGGGACGUGAAUUCCAGGAUAUAAAUGACACAUAUGAUGGGCUAAUGUAUAAGCAGGGACAUGAGAGGUAUAAGCAACAUUUUUUUCAUGCUUAAUUAAGUUUAGCAUGAGAUGGACUUGGUCUUUCUUAUGAUUCAAGUCUAUUUUAUACCAAUUUUGUUUUAAUCAACAAUCAAUGUUUUAAGUCUCAUGAUUUCAAUUUCAAAACCUCUUUGUUAAUUAAAUAUUCAUUUUUCCUUAGCAUUUGCAUCUUCUUAAUUUAUCAAAUUUAAAUUAUAAGAUAUCAUUUUUGCUGAAUAUCCUUUUUUUUCACCUAUUUUCAUAGGCCCUAAGAUACAUUUCUGUAGUAAGCACUAUAAAUACAUUGCAAGCUAUUAUCAUUUGUUUGAUAUUACUAUUUUAUAAAAUCAUCUUUUAAUUUCUUUCAGAAAGAUAUUUGACAAAUUACUUGUGAUAUCCAUGCUUUAGCUGUAGAGUUUAAAAUCUUCAUUAAACUUUAUUUAAUCCGUUGUUUAUCUAUUUUCAUUCAGAGUUUCUGAAAACGUAAACAUAUCAUUUGUAUCAUUAUGUAAAGAAUUUCAAUCUACCUUAAAAAGUAAUGCACUAAAUAAACUGCUCUGUCUACUACACAUGUACAUAUAAGUUUUGAUUUUAAAGGUCAAGUCCUCCCCAGAAAAAAAUUCGAUUUGAAUUAAUAGAAAAAAAAUCAACCGAGCAUAAUGCUGAGAAUUUCAUCAAAAUCUGCGUCGGUUGUAAAAUAGGAACGUUAUGAAAUUUUCAAGUUUGGCUUAUUUUUCACAACACAGUUAUAUGCACAGAUCAGUGACGUGCAAAUGAGACAGUCAAUGAUGUCCACAUGUUCGGGGGAGGGGGGGGGACUAAUCUUGGUUUCACUUGACAAUGAAGAGAAAAUUUGAAUAUUUUAUCUCGUAGAAUUAAAAGAAAUAGUUUGCAUGCCGACUGGGAUGUACAUAUAAGUUUGUAGUCAAGCAAAACUUUAAAAAUGUCACAACUUAAUAUCUUUACAUCAGAUUUUGAUGAAAUUUUCAGUGUUACGCUCGUUGUGUUUUUCUCUUUUUAUUCAAAUCAACUUUGUGGGGGUGGACUUGUCCUUUUAUAUCGUUUUCAAGUAAUUGUGUCAGGAGAAAACAAAAAUGAAAUUCUUUUAUCAAUUCUGUCCAUAUGCUGCAUGGUUCAUCGUUCUUGCAGGAGGCAAAAAAUAAAUUUAUAUAAGAAA